Molecule: ribosomal RNA, 415 nt
Filed under: uncultured bacterium
Lineage: Bacteria
Description: bacterial SSU rRNA
Rfam family: Bacterial small subunit ribosomal RNA
Source: RNAcentral
CAGUGGGGAAUUUUGGACAAUGGGCGCAAGCCUGAUCCAGCAAUGCCGCGUGGAGGUGGAAGGCCUACGGGUCGUCAACUUCUUUUCUCAGAGAAGAAACAAUGACGGUAUCUGAGGAAUAAGCAUCGGCUAACUCUGUGCCAGCAGCCGCGGUAAGACAGAGGAUGCAAGCGUUAUCCAGAAUGAUUGGGCAUAAAGAGUCUGUAGGUGGCUUUUCAAGUCCGCCGUCAAAUCCCAGGGCUCAACCCUGGACAGGCGGUGGAAACUACCAAGCCGGAGUACGGUAGGGGCAGAGGGAAUUUCCGGUGGAGCGGUGAAAUGCAUUGAGAUCGGAAAGAACACCAACGGCGAAAGCACUCUGCUGGACCGACACUGACACUGAGAGACGAAAGCUAGGGGAGCAAAUGGGAUUAGA